Mandrillus leucophaeus (drill) is the source of this 589-nucleotide long non-coding RNA. RefSeq lists it as uncharacterized. The transcript is spliced from 2 exons. Lineage: Eukaryota; Metazoa; Chordata; Mammalia; Primates; Cercopithecidae. The record is from RefSeq and is a predicted model, not a curated record.
AGUGAAAGUCUGCAGGAAGCAAACAGCUGGGAGACCAGAAAAAAUGGAUGAUGAAGACCCCAUUAUGGGUACCGUCUCCUGGGAUUCCAGGAAGAAGCCCUGGCCAGACAGCCCUGGAGACCAAGCAUCUCCUGCUGGGGAUACCCCUCCCUUGGGAGAACAACAGGAGCUCCAUUAUGCCUCCCUCAGCUUUUCUGAGAUGAAGUCGAGGGAGCCUAAGGACCAGGAGGCCCCAAGCACCACGGAGUACUCAGAGGUCAAGACAAGCAAGUGAGGACUCCCCCAGAGCUCAGUCCUGGCUGGAGGAACCACAGCCUGUCUAGGGGGAAGGACAAGUCAGGGACCACUUGCUGAAGCAUGAAGAGCCCUUGUGACAAUGUUAACAUUAACUGAUGUGUAAGUGCUCCAAGCAGAGCAGAAAGAAGACAGAUGAUGGAAUUGGAGAAGUGGGCUCAAACCUAGGCCCUGGCACUGUCAUCAAGCAAUUCACUGCCUCCCUCUGUGCCUCAGUUUCCCAUUCUGUAAAUCAGAGAUCAUGCAUGUUACCUCAAAGGUUGUUGUGACCAUUAAAGAAAGCAACACAUGGAAA